AACGAACGCUGGCGGCAUGCCUAACACAUGCAAGUCGAACGAGACCUUCGGGUCUAGUGGCGCACGGGUGCGUAACGCGUGGGAACCUGCCCUUAGGUUCGGUAUAACUCCCCGAAAGGGGUGCUAAUACCGGAUAAUGUCUUCGGACCAAAGAUUUAUCGCCUUUGGAUGGGCCCGCGUUGGAUUAGCUAGUUGGUAGGGUAAAAGCCUGCCAAGGCGACGAUCCAUAGCUGGUCUGAGAGGAUGAUCAGCCACACUGGGACUGAGACACGGCCCAGACUCCUACGGGAGGCAGCAGUGGGGAAUAUUGGACAAUGGGCGAAAGCCUGAUCCAGCAAUGCCGCGUGAGUGAUGAAGGCCUUAGGGUUGUAAAGCUCUUUUACCCGGGAUGAUAAUGACAGUACCGGGAGAAUAAGCUCCGGCUAACUCCGUG
RNAcentral lists this ribosomal RNA (433 nucleotides) under uncultured bacterium. RNAcentral describes it as "partial 16S ribosomal RNA". It matches the Rfam family "Bacterial small subunit ribosomal RNA", at positions 29 to 507 of the family's 1533-position model. The record is from RNAcentral.